GCUCAGGAUGAACGCUAGCUACAGGCUUAACACAUGCAAGUCGAGGGGUAGCAGGGUAGCAAUACCGCUGACGACCGGCGCACGGGUGAGUAACACGUAUCCAACCUUCCCAUAACUCGGGGAUAGCCUUUCGAAAGAAAGAUUAAUACCCGAUAGUACUUUUUUAGGGCAUCUUAGAAAAGUUAAAGAUUUAUUGGUUAUGGAUGGGGAUGCGUUCCAUUAGAUAGUUGGUGAGGUAACGGCUCACCAAGUCUUCGAUGGAUAGGGGUUCUGAGAGGAAGGUCCCCCACAUUGGUACUGAGACACGGACCAAACUCCUACGGGAGGCAGCAGUGAGGAAUAUUGGUCAAUGGGCGAGAGCCUGAACCAGCCAAG
RNAcentral lists this ribosomal RNA (375 nucleotides) under uncultured Bacteroidales bacterium. Its description in RNAcentral is "bacterial SSU rRNA". It matches the Rfam family "Bacterial small subunit ribosomal RNA", at positions 22 to 396 of the family's 1533-position model. Lineage: Bacteria; Pseudomonadati; Bacteroidota; Bacteroidia; Bacteroidales. The record is from RNAcentral.